Molecule: ribosomal RNA, 374 nt
Filed under: uncultured eukaryote
Lineage: Eukaryota
Description: SSU rRNA
Rfam family: Eukaryotic small subunit ribosomal RNA
Source: RNAcentral
AGCUCCAAUAGCGUAUAUUAAAGUUGUUGCAGUUAAAAAGCUCGUAGUUGGACUUCUGAUUGAGUGCUGAUGUGUCGCAUCUCGCUACACUUGACGCGCUCUUUCAUCCUUCUGUUAGCGUCAUUCGGCAUUCAUUUGCUGGUGGCGGGCUCAGAUAUUUUACCUUGAGAAAAUUAGAGUGUUUCAGGCAGGCUAAGCCGGAAUACAUUAGCAUGGAAUAAUGGAAUAGGACUGAGGUCUCUUUGUUGGUUUGAGGGACUGCAGUAAUGAUUAAUAGGGACAGUUGGGGGCAUUAGUAUUUAAUAGUCAGAGGUGGAAUUCUAUGAUUUGUUAAAGACUAACCUAUGCGAAAGCAUUUGCCAAGGAUGUUUUCA